Molecule: transfer RNA, 65 nt
Filed under: Dipodomys ordii (Ord's kangaroo rat)
Lineage: Eukaryota; Metazoa; Chordata; Mammalia; Rodentia; Heteromyidae
Rfam family: tRNA
About the family: Transfer RNA (tRNA) molecules are approximately 80 nucleotides in length. Their secondary structure includes four short double-helical elements and three loops (D, anti-codon, and T loops).
Source: Rfam by way of RNAcentral
GGUGGCUCAGUGGUAGAGUGUUUGCCUUGCAUGCAUGAGACCCUAGGUUCAAUUCCUCAGCACCA